RNAcentral lists this ribosomal RNA (363 nucleotides) under uncultured bacterium. RNAcentral's name for it is "bacterial SSU rRNA". It matches the Rfam family "Bacterial small subunit ribosomal RNA", at positions 9 to 353 of the family's 1533-position model. The record is from RNAcentral.
GAGUUUUGAUCCUGGCUCAGGAUGAACGCUAGCUACAGGCUUAACACAUGCAAGUCGAGGGGAAACGACAUCGAAAGCUUGCUUUUGAUGGUCGUCGACCGGCGCACGGGUGAGUAACGCGUAUCCAACCUGCCCAUCACGUUGGGGAUAACCUUGACGAAAGUAAGACUAAUACCCAAUGACGUCUCUAGAAGACAUCUAGAAAGAGAUUAAAGUAUUUAUCGGUGAUGGAGUGGGGAUGCGUCUGAUUAGCUUGUUGGGCGGGGUAACCGGCCCACCAAGGCGACGAUCAGGUAGGGUUCUGAGAGGAACGGCCCCCACAUUGGAACUGAGACACGGUCCAAACUCCUACGGGAGGCAGCA